GCGGGCGCGGAGCGGCGCUGCGCGGCCCCCGCCGCGCCUCCGCACCCUCUAUAAGAGGAGCGGCCGCGGCCGCGCUCCGCAGUGCAUGGCAGCGCCUCGCCCGGGACGCCGCCGUCCCGCCGGGACCCUCCCGGACCCUCCCCCGGGUGUGCCCGCCGUCGCCUCGCCCCCUCCCGGCCGCCGACAGCCUUGACCUUGCCGUCCGGCAGCCCGCGGGAUCGGGGGCUGGGUGGCGGAGCUGCCUCGGGAUGCGUUAGCCGGCGGAUCGCGCUGGAAUAUUUCUCCUAGGAAGGAGAGAGGCGACCUCCUCCCACUGGCCGGGGAGGGGGGGCGGGAGAAAAAGAGGAAUUAAAGAGCAUCUUUGCCCGCUUUGUUGGAUGAGAAGGACGGAGAAGGACCAGCAAGAUGAGCACUAGCAUUCCCUAUCAGCAAAACCCCUACACCCCUGGCAGCAGCUCCACCGUCAUCCAGUGCUACCGCUGUGGGGACACCUGCAAGGGAGAGGUGGUGCGCGUCCAGAGCAAUCACUUCCACAUCCGCUGCUUCACCUGCCAAGUGUGCGGCUGCGACCUGGCCCAGUCGGGCUUCUUCUUUAAGAACCAGGAGUACAUCUGCACCCACGACUACCAGCAGCUCUACGGGACCCGCUGCGACAGCUGCGGGGACUUCAUCACCGGAGAGGUCAUCUCCGCCCUGGGGAGGACCUACCACCCCAAGUGCUUUGUCUGCAGCACCUGCAGGAAGCCAUUCCCCAUCGGAGACAAGGUCACGUUCAGCGGGAAGGACUGUGUUUGCCAAAACUGCUCCCACUCUCUCAUCAGCACCAAACCCAUCAAGAUCCACGGGCCCAGCCACUGCGCAGGCUGCAAGGAGGAGAUCAAGCAAGGCCAAUCCCUCCUGGCCCUGGAGAAGCAGUGGCACGUCAGCUGCUUCAAGUGCCAAACGUGCGGGAUCAUCCUCACCGGCGAGUACAUCAGCAAGGAUGGCAUCCCGUACUGCGAGUCUGACUACCAUGCCCAGUUCGGCAUCAAGUGUGAGACCUGUGACCGGUACAUCAGCGGCAGGGUCCUGGAGGCAGGAGGGAAGCACUACCACCCCACCUGUGCCAGAUGUGUCCGCUGCCACCAGAUGUUCACGGAAGGAGAGGAGAUGUACCUCACAGGCUCCGAAGUGUGGCACCCCAUCUGCAAGCAGGCAGCCAGAGCGGAGAAGAAGCUAAAGCACAGAAGGACAUCAGAAACCUCCAUCUCGCCCCCUGGUUCCAGCAUCGGCUCCCCAAACCGUGUCAUCUGCGCUAAAGUGGAUAAUGAGAUCCUUAAUUACAAAGACCUGGCAGCUCUUCCCAAGAUUAAAGCCAUCUAUGAAGUGCAGCGUCCCGACCUCAUUUCCUACGAGCCCUAUCACAGAUAUACAUCGGAUGAGACGCUGGAGAGAUAUAGCUAUGGGGAGUCCCUGGGGACCCUCUCCCCGUACUCACAGGACAUCUACGAGAGCUUUGACACCCGGCAGAGGCGAGCCUCCAGCCCUGGCUACAUCGACUCCCCCACCUACAGCCGCCAGGGCAUGUCCCCCACCAUCCCGAGGUCCCCCCACCAUUUCUACCGCUCAGGCACCGAGAGCGGGCGCAGCUCCCCCUACUAUAGCCAGUUAGAUGUGAGGUCCUCCACUCCAACCUCAUACCAAGCACCCAAGCAUUUCCACAUCCCAGCUGCUGGUGAGAGUAACAUCUACCGGAAACCCCCCAUCUAUAAGCGACACGACAACCUCCCUGCAGCCACGAAAAGCAAAACCAGCGAAGACAUCGCACAGUCAUCCAAGUACAGCCCUGCCUACUCCCCGGACCCGUACUACCACUCCGAGUCGGAGUACUGGUCCUUCCAAGGCUCCCCCAAAGCCCCCCGGGCCCGGAGGUUCUCGUCGGGAGGUGAGGAGGACGGGUACGACCGGGGAAUGCACAAGAUCCAGAGUGGCAUCGGCAGGCUGAUCCUGAGGGAAGAGAUGAAGGCUCGGUCCAACUCCUACACAGACCCCUGGACGCCCCCACGCAGCUCGGCCAGCAGCAGAGAAGCCCUGCACACGGCUGGCUACGAGGGCUCCCUCAACGGCUCUCCCCGGACACACUACCUGGCUGACAGCGAUCCCCUCAUUUCCAAGUCGGCGUCCCUCCCUGCCUACAGGAGGAACGGGCUGCACAGGCCUCCCAGUGCCGAGCUUUUCCACUACGACAGCACGAACGCAGUCAACUGGGGGAUGCGAGAGUACAAGGUAAGAUGCUCCCGCUCCAAGGAGCAGCUGCAGCUGGAGCUGCGAGUACCACCCAGAGGGAGUCCCAGAGACAUGUCUGUGUGUCCCCAGGCCCUUCAGGAGGAAGCUUAGUCCUAUGCCCACAAUAUCCUACCUUCAUCCCCCAGCUGACAGCCCUGUCCCAGGACUGUGGGGCUCGGACCAGAGUCCUUCCCCUCCUGCCAGGGUCUCAAGCACUUGGCCAAGCACAGUUGUCUCCUGGGUGAGGAACAGAGAAGGGUGAUUGUGCGUGUGGUUCCCUACUCACGCUUGUCCCUGGGUCACUCCUGGUUUCGCAGAGUGAGCAGGCUAUUCCAGAGCCACUGAGGUGACUUAAGGUGGAUUAGCGUCACCCUGAGAGCAAGUACCCCCUCUGUCUUGUCCCAUCCAAGCGCUGGAGGCAGCUGUGCCUCCCAAAACCUGCUAAACAUGGCGGGGGAAGACUUUGUCCUGGUCGCCCCCAAGGUCUUAUUGCCAUGUGUGCCCUAACUGUCCUUUUCUGGCUCUGGAGCUACCCCAUGGUCUUCCUGUCCUCGUGCAGAUAUACCCCUAUGAGCUGCUCCUGGUGAAGACAAGGGGGAGGAACCAGCUGCCCAAAGAUGUGGACAGGACUCGGUUAGAGCGCCACCUCUCCCAGGAGGAGUUCUACCAGAUCUUCGGUAUGACCAUCGCCGAGUUCGACCGCCUGGCCCUGUGGAAGAGGAACGAGCUGAAGAAGCAGGCCCGGCUCUUUUAAAUGCAGUGCACUAUAAAUAUAUACAUACCUAUAAAUAUAUACAUAGAAAGAUC
This is an RNA transcript of Chroicocephalus ridibundus (black-headed gull), 3072 nucleotides long. It is a transcript of the gene named actin binding LIM protein family member 3, with no coding region annotated. The transcript is spliced from 22 exons. The record is from RefSeq and is a predicted model, not a curated record. Lineage: Eukaryota; Metazoa; Chordata; Aves; Charadriiformes; Laridae.